RNAcentral lists this ribosomal RNA (265 nucleotides) under uncultured Oscillospiraceae bacterium. RNAcentral's name for it is "partial 16S ribosomal RNA". It matches the Rfam family "Bacterial small subunit ribosomal RNA", at positions 76 to 339 of the family's 1533-position model. Lineage: Bacteria; Bacillati; Bacillota; Clostridia; Eubacteriales; Oscillospiraceae. The record is from RNAcentral.
UCCAAGUGAAGCAGAGGACAGUGGCGGACGGGUGAGUAACGCGUGAGGAACCUGCCUUUCAGAGGGGGACAACAGUUGGAAACGACUGCUAAUACCGCAUGACGCAUGACCGGGGCAUCCCGGGCAUGUCAAAGAUUUUAUCGCUGGAAGAUGGCCUCGCGUCUGAUUAGCUAGAUGGUGGGGUAACGGCCCACCAUGGCGACGAUCAGUAGCCGGACUGAGAGGUUGACCGGCCACAUUGGGACUGAGAUACGGCCCAGACUCC